Molecule: long non-coding RNA, 489 nt
Organism: Ricinus communis (castor bean)
Lineage: Eukaryota; Viridiplantae; Streptophyta; Magnoliopsida; Malpighiales; Euphorbiaceae
Exons: 2
Source: RefSeq, a predicted model, not a curated record
GCGCAAAUGGUGGCCGGAGUUGGAAGUUCGCAGUGGAGAGAGAAAGUGGGUGGCAGCCACGUUUUCUGGCUUUUCUAGCGAAGGAUGGAUGAUCGGAGGACAUAUCCGGACUCUUCUCAACUCAAAAUUUCCAAUGGCACCGGUUUCAUGGCGAUCGGAUCCCGUUUGAAAAUCAACGGCCGAGAUCGUCCGUAAAUCUCUCCGGAUGAUCGAGGGUCGGAUUAAAAGAUCGGAAGCGGGGAUCAUCAUCAGCGCGUCGUUUCGAGUUUGUUGGUGCGUUCGGAUCAUCGAUCGGACUCCGGCGGCUGAAGGCGAGUCAACCGAGCGAUCAAGUGUCUUGAUAAUCCGUCAGUUCGGCUCGCUUCACCUCAGGCAUCAGAGCAAAGCUAUGAGGUCGUUAAAGCUGUGAGUUAAAGUCAUAUAUCUGUUAUGCACGUGUCAUGCGCAAAUCUUAAAUAGCUAUUGUGAUUAAUUGAUUUCAAUUUUAAA